GCACUGCUGAGAAGUCUGACAAUAGGACGAAACGGCCGUCCAGUAC
This is a non-coding RNA of Schistosoma mattheei, 46 nucleotides long. Lineage: Eukaryota; Metazoa; Platyhelminthes; Trematoda; Strigeidida; Schistosomatidae. The record is from Rfam.